RNAcentral lists this ribosomal RNA (480 nucleotides) under uncultured bacterium. RNAcentral describes it as "partial 16S ribosomal RNA". It matches the Rfam family "Bacterial small subunit ribosomal RNA", at positions 28 to 507 of the family's 1533-position model. The record is from RNAcentral.
GAUGAACGCUAGCGGCAGGCCUAACACAUGCAAGUCGAGGGGGAAGUUACUUUCGGGUGACUGAGACCGGCGUACGGGUGCGUAACGCGUAUACAAUCUGCCUUUCACUGGGGGAUAGCCCGAAGAAAUUUGGAUUAAUACCCCAUAGUAUAUAGGGACGGCAUCGUUUUUAUAUUAAAGCUUAGGUGGUGAAAGAUGAGUAUGCGUUCUAUUAGCUAGUUGGAGAGGUAACGGCUCCCCAAGGCGAUGAUAGAUAGGGGUUCUGAGAGGGAUGUCCCCCACACUGGUACUGAGAUACGGACCAGACUCCUACGGGAGGCAGCAGUGAGGAAUAUUGGACAAUGGUCGGAAGACUGAUCCAGCCAUGCCGCGUGCAGGAUGAAGGUCUUAUGGAUUGUAAACUGCUUUUGUAAGGGAAGAAUAAGGGCUACGCGUAGUUUGAUGACGGUACCUUACGAAUAAGCAUCGACUAACUCCGUG